GACGAACGCUGGCGGCGUGCUUAACACAUGCAAGUCGAACGGAAAGGCCCUGCUUUUGUGGGGUGCUCGAGUGGCGAACGGGUGAGUAACACGUGAGUAACCUGCCCUUGACUUUGGGAUAACUUCAGGAAACUGGGGCUAAUACCGGAUAGGAGCGCCUGCUGCAUGGUGGGGGUUGGAAAGUGUCGGCGGUUGGGGAUGGACUCGCGGCUUAUCAGCUUGUUGGUGGGGUAGUGGCUUACCAAGGCUUUGACGGGUAGCCGGCCUGAGAGGGUGACCGGCCACAUUGGGACUGAGAGACGGCCCAGACCCCUACGGGAGGCAGCAGUGGGGAAUAUUGCACAAUGGGCGGAAGCCUGAUGCAGCAACGCCGCGUGCGGGAUGACGGCCUUCGGGUUGUAAACCGCUUUCGCCUGUGACGAAGCGUGAGUGACGGUAAUGGGUAAAGAAGCACCGGCUAACUACGUG
Molecule: ribosomal RNA, 468 nt
Filed under: uncultured bacterium
Lineage: Bacteria
Description: partial 16S ribosomal RNA
Rfam family: Bacterial small subunit ribosomal RNA
Source: RNAcentral